Molecule: long non-coding RNA, 3768 nt
Organism: Lytechinus pictus (painted urchin)
Lineage: Eukaryota; Metazoa; Echinodermata; Echinoidea; Temnopleuroida; Toxopneustidae
Exons: 3
Source: RefSeq, a predicted model, not a curated record
GUCUGACAAAACUCAAAUACACACACACACACACACAUGCAAAAGAACCGAUCGAUAGCUAAUGAAUAUUCAUAAAACAAUAGCGAAUGGGCGAGUAGCGUUGGUUGAGAGACAUCGUACCGCUCUGUCAUUGGUCAAUUCUGAGCUGAAUGCCUUCGCACACUCGCCUUUGCUCUGCCCAUAGAAGUACGUGUAUUGCUACACACAACCUUUAUAUCACAUGUGUCUAUAGGGGAAAUCUUGAUUCAGAUCGCGGCAAUAUCCGAAAUCAACUCUUCAAAAUAAUGAUGCAAAAAUGCCAUUUUACUAAAAAAAUGUCUAUGUAAACCACUAUUUUUUAUACAACAAAAUCAAUUGUGAAUUCCUUGCCAAUAUAACAACAUAAAAAACACAAAAUAUAGUGUUGAUUUUCUGGCUGUAAAAUUGGUUAAACAAAAAAAAGUUACUUGGGCAACUAUAGCUGCCAGUGGCACUAGGGGGCUAUGGGCAACUAUAGCUGCCAAUGGCUCUUAAAGAGUUAAGACAGGGUGUACACUUUGUUCAAAAUAUGCCAUGCUGUGUUCAGUACACCAACUAUGUAGAAACCCAAAUAUACUGAUAUCUCAGUCUGUAACAACACUAUAAACAUAUGAUUUACACAUAGUUCUAUGCACAAAUAUAUAUGGUACAUAUAUAUGCCACUCUGUGUUCGGAAUGCCAACAAUGUGGGUAAGUAUGUGGUUAACUAUGUGAUCUGACGUCCCGCACUGUCAACACAUUGUGACCACAUUGGUAACACACAGUUACAACGGUCAACCCUGUGAACAAACUCUGGCAAACACUAUGGACACGAAAUUCAAUAAUACUACACUGUCGUAUAUAUGUGGAGCGUUGUGGCCCAGUUGAUUAGCCUCCGGACUUAGAAACAGAGGGUCGUGGGUUCAAAUCCCAGCCAUGGUGAGGUGAAUGGGUACCUGGCAGGAAUUUAUUCCUUGAAAUGCCGAGCGUGUAAAAGCUGAUUGAGCUACAGCCAGGGUAAUAAUAUACAAGUCCUUUGGAAGCGCAUAGAGACGUUAUUUAUAAUGUGUUAUGCGCUCUACAAGAACUGACUAUUAUUAUUAUGUGUGCCACUCUGUGUUCGGAUUGCCAACUAUAUGGAUAUUUAUGCGGUUAACUGUGUGAUAUGACGUCCUACACUAUGGCAACACUAUGAUCGCAUAGUUUGGAUACGCUUACAACAGUUAACUAUGCGAACGCACUGUAGCAACACUAUGAACAAAUGGUGUACACAUAGUUCAAUACAUACCACACGUGGUAUAUUUGUGCCCCUCUGUGUUCGAAAUGCCAACUAUGUGGGUGAUUAUGUAGCUAACUAUGUGAUCUGAUGUCCUACACUGUAACAACAUUGCGACCACAUGGUUAACGCACAAUUACAACGGUCAACUAUUUGAACACACUUUCGCAACACUUUGAUACCCAACUAUGUGGGUAAUGGUGUGGUUAAGUAUGUGAUCUGAAGUCCCACACUGUGAAAACACUGUGACCACUUAUGGUUAACACACAAUGUACACAUAGUCAAGUAUGUGAACACACUGCGUAUAUUCCAUAAGGGAAUAUUUUCGUCGUCAGUGACUCGGCCACAAUAUCCAGUGUAAUUGUUAAUAUCAUUACUUCAGCUUGUUUAUUGGAGAAGCGUCAAAGUACUAUUGCACGCCCUGAUAUUUUAUUUAUUUUUUGGUCUUUUUUUUUUAGUCUGCCGAAUUCUGGUUUGGAACCGGAGGAGCAGGCGUUUGCUACAGCAAGGCGAUAGUUCCCAAGAUGAUGCCUUAUGCGAGCCGUAAACAUUUUGGAGAAACAUGCGCUAGAGUGGGUCGUCCUGAUGAUAUGACUAUCGGUUUCAUUGUAGAUUACUUGUUAAACGGGACAUUGACGAAAAUGCACACCUUCAACUCCCACAUUCAAAACAUCACGAGGAUACCCAGAGAGAAACUUCAUAACCAGGUGUGUAUAAAAAGAGGGAAAGGGUGUCAUGAGACGGGUCGCAGGGGGUCGACAAUGUCACUACAUUGCUGAAAAGAACACAGUGUCACACAGUUUGAUUACUACGGAGUCUUUAAAGAUACGGUAUCUCGCCAAGUCGACUUAUAAAAAAAAUAUAUGUCGACAUGGUCAGAUACGUUAUAUGACCAAGUCGACUUAUGAAAAGUUAUAUGUCGACAUCGCGAGAUACGUUAUCUUGCCAAUUUGAAUUUAAAAAAAAUGUAUGUCAACAUGGCGAGACUUUAUCUUGCCAAAUCUACGGAGCCUUUAAAGUGCUAUCGGCUUGACGACUUAGCGAGAUACUUUAUCUUGCGAUAUCGACAUAAUGACCUUAUUAUGUCGACAGGGCGAGAUAUGCUAUCUAGCCAAGUCGACUUAUGAAAAGUUAUAUGUCGACAUGGCGAGAUACUUUAUCUUGCCAAGUCGACUUAUAAAGCAUUAUAUGUCGACAUGGCGAGAUUUGAAGUGUCCGAGGCCCGGCGAGAGCCUAAAUAUCUCGCCAAGUUGACAUAUAACUUUUUAUAAGUCAACUUGUCAAGAUAAAAUAUCUCGCCAUGUUGACAUAUUUUUUAACUUUUUAUAAGUCGACUUGGCGAGAUAACGCAUCUCGCCAUAUCGACAUAAUAAUGUUAUUAUGUCGACAUGGCAAGAUAAAGUAUAUCGCCAAGUCAUGAAGUCGAUUGCACUUUAGAUCACAAUAUGUUAUCCCGUUCCGUCCGAUUUGAAUUACUCUGCGGGAACCGCCCAGUACAAUUUGAUUUCGCGGGAAACAGAAGACCGUGUGAUUGCCACCAGUAGGUGGGGCUUAGCGUGCAUUCCGCCAAUAGAUCGAAAGUGCUCUCCGGAUAACAGAUUCCACUUGGCCAUUCAUGUAAAAAGACUGUCAUCGAUGAAUAUUCAUCUGUUCUUGUUUAAUGACCAAUGGCAUGCAUUUCCCGAUCCCAAUAGAAAUCAAUAUUCAUAAGCAGUCAGUCCGCAGCCCGUCCGAAAGUGCUCUAUUUUAUUCAGCGGUAUGCAUAGCCGUCCGUGGUUAUGCAUAGUAAUGAGCUGUGAAGACGAACUUUCCGAUCGGUGUUUUUUGCUCUUAGAAACGUUUAUUCCUCACAAAAUUGGUCUCAUUUUAUAGAUAAAAAUUUGAAAUUUCUGAUCAGCUAAAUAAAAUGAACAUUUAAUGUAUUUUGAAGACCGAUAUUUAGCUUAGAAAAAAUGAUUUUUUCAAGAAAUAUAUGUGAAUAAACAGAGCUCAUUUUUUGCAUCGAAAUCACACUUGCGUCAAAUUGAUAUUAUAAUCAAUAUAAAGCGUAGACAUUCUUCUUUACGACUGAAAAAGAAUUAUGAAAUUUCAUGAUGUAGCAAAGUCAGGAACCACAAAAAACCACGGCAAUGUCCAUCGCAAAAUGAUUGGAAUUGCCGACGCGUUCUGAUUGGUCAACAGCGGCGCACAGACUUACAACAUUUUAUAUAACUUAAAAAACCCGGAAAUAUAAAUAAUCAUUCAAAGUAUGAAAUAAUGAAUUAUGUUACAUGUAAGUCAAUCAAGAGACUAACUAAGUACUGUCUGUGACAGCCACAAUUUUUUUAUUUGAACAAAAUGGUUUAUAAAUACUACUGAGUACGGUAGUACCAGACUUUUUAGUUUGACUUUAAACUGUUUAUAGUCUCUAGAGUAGACUGUCUGAGCUAAUCAUCAUUUAAUUCUUAACCGCAGCCUGGGGCAAAAAUCAUCAUGGGGCUCAACUUAGACUAAUU